GGCAAACCGUAUUGUUGGCUUCGCCUAGGGUCUCCCUUCUACUGUCGCCGCAACCUGACCAACCUCCCUUCUACUGCCCGCCUAGGGUCUCCCUUCUACUGCCGCCGCAACGGCGCAACCUCCCUUCUACUGCCGCCGCAACCUCCCUUCUUCGAGUCCCAUCCGACCUAGCCCUGCAACCCGCCGGACGACGAGCAGUGAGGCCCGCGGCCGAGAUGGACCGGUACCUGACGGUGGAGCGGCCACGGAACGAGUCAACCAUCGAAGAGAACGGGAUCCGCAUCACCGCGCAGGGCCUCAUCUGCAACUAUGUCUCCUACGCUACCUCCCUCCUCCAGGUGCCUGGGCUUGUCCUCACCAUCGCCGUCGUAUCGUAUUGUACUUAGGAUGCGCUGUUCUGUUCGAGUCCCGUCCCUGUCGAUUCGAAGAGAUCCCCAGCAACGUGAGGGAGGUGUUCCUGACCGGCCCCACCUCCAAGUUCGGCAGGGCCAUCGCGCUCUACCUCUGCAGGAAGAAGAUCAGAGUCCUGAUGUUCACGGUGUCGUCGGAGAGGUUCCUGAAGAUCCAGAGGGAGGCACCGCCGGAGUACCAGCAGUACCUCGUGCAGGUGACCAAGUACCAGGCCGCACAGAACUGCAAGGUCAUGGUGAUUUCACGUCCGUUAGGCUCGAGAGGUGGACUCAAACAUCCAAGUUUUGCAAGUUUUGAUGUUGGAUGUUAAAUUUCUAUGCUCACCCCUCGUUUGGUUAUUGAUUUGAUCAUAGUUUUGCAUGAACUAUUGGCGUUGGCUAUCUAAAAGGACAGAAAGGCAGACAUGAGCAACAGAUCCCGCUCCAUGGGCUGAAACUGGGAUUCGUGAUGGCAGGCGCCCCUCUUAGUCGUGUGUAGGGCGAGCUGCUGCCAUGGUGGCUUUUUCUUGCGGGUGUGAGCUCCGCUCGCCGCCGGUCUUGGACGCCGUGGCUAGGCUCCUACCACCCCUCCCUCCACCCGGGACUCCACGCUGCCACCGCCACACGACAGUACGCAUACACUCUUCUUCCUCCCCUCGCUCUGGAUGGCUGGCGUCCGCUCCCUCAGCGCCUCCGCCCAUGCCCGGCUCCCGCACUUGCCGGCUCCCCGAUGGAGAUGAAUGAAGAAAGGAAGAUCUGCAAGAAUAAAGUCGAGGCGGAGGCUUGGUUUACUGGUCUUAGUGCCUUGAUAUGUCGAAGACAGCAUGGAUCCCAGGUCCAACAUAUAGAUGGAAUCCGGAUUGCUGGACUUCCUAUUGAUUUUCCAAGAUCGGAGAUGCAAUUUCAUACUGUGCAAAAGCAAUUUCGCUAUGCAAGUCACGCAUACAGAACCUGAAAAGUUCCAAGGAUGCUUUGUUGGAUGGUAUAGAUGGUGGUGAUGCAUCUGCUGCUGAAGCUGAAGGAGGCUCAGAAAAAUCUACCAUUGAAAAAGAGCUAGAGCAGCUUACUAGCAUAUUGCCUGAUCUUGAGAAGAAGCUUGAGGACCUGUCUGAAGCAAACCCAAGCGCUGACAUGGAUGAGAUGGUGAAGGCAAUUGUGUCCAGGGUAACUGAAGUGAUGCCAAAAGCUGCAUCUUUUACUUCUUCCCAAAUAGCAACCUCAAGCAAUGGAUUCGACUCCUCGGUUAUGUCUACGACAGCGACAACUGGAAGCUCUGGAAGCACUGUGAACUGACCUUGGGGUUGUAGGCAGAGGCGUCAAACGAGCUAGCAUCAAGCCGAUCUCUGCCAAACCUGUUGCUAAGAAACCUGCACUUGAUUCACCAUCUCUCCAAGGUGACAACAGCAUCAACUCUGAGGUUGUCCCUGCGACGCAGACUGAUGAAUCCAGCUAAAGCUCUACAUUUGAAACGAACGCUUUCUGACGGGGGCACGGCGAUAACACGCCUUCUAUUCUAGUAUGCUUAGAUAGAUUCAAUGUUAGCGCAAACGACUGAUGAUAAGUUUUUCAGUUAGUAUUUUAAUUUGGAUUUAGAGUACACUUAUGUAUGAUUUAUUUGACAAUGCUUAUUUAUGAGACAUUGAAUUGUACUUAUCUAUAUUACAUUAAAUAUGAUGUUAUUAAA
Molecule: RNA transcript, 2073 nt
Organism: Zea mays
Lineage: Eukaryota; Viridiplantae; Streptophyta; Magnoliopsida; Poales; Poaceae
Gene name: histone-binding protein N1/N2-like
Exons: 8
Source: RefSeq, marked validated